Molecule: ribosomal RNA, 458 nt
Filed under: uncultured bacterium
Lineage: Bacteria
Description: partial 16S ribosomal RNA
Rfam family: Bacterial small subunit ribosomal RNA
Source: RNAcentral
GAUGAAUGCUGGCGGCGCGCCUAACACAUGCAAGUCGAGCGGAAAGGCCCUUCGGGGUACUCGAGCGGCGGACGGCUGAGUAACGCGUGGGAACAUGCCCCAAAGUGAGGAAUAACUGCCCGAAAGGGUAGCUAAUGCCGCAUAUGAUCUUCGGAUUAAAGGAUUUAUCCGCUUUGGGAGUGGCCCGCGUACGAUUAGGUAGUUGGUGAGGUAAAGGCUAACCAAGCCUACGAUCGUUAACUGGUCUGAGAGGAUGAUCAGUCAGACUGGAACUGAGACACGGUCCAGACUCCUACGGGAGGCAGCAGUGAGGAAUCUUCCACAAUGGGCGAAAGCCUGAUGGAGCGACGCCGCGCGCAGGAUGAAGGCCUUCGGGUUGUAAACUGCUUUUAUAAGUGAAGAAUAUGACGGUAACUUAUGAAUAAGCACCGGCUAACUACCUGCCAGCCGCCGCUGUA